GUGACAUAGCUUUAUUUUGAAAGGUUCGAAGUUAGGCGCGGAUAUGACGACACGUUUGGUUUCACUUUGAGACUAAAACGCGGUACUGCUAACUUCAGGUAAUGUUCGGUGCAUUCAACACGUUUUCGAACAAACUGUUUCCCGUUUCACGUACACAGAAGUUUUACUGUCUUUUUUCCAUUAAAAAAAAAUCUGCAAAGGUUUAAAAGGUGUCCCGACAGCAGGAUGGACCAGAAGGGGUGCCUGGUCGAGGUUUUGGGGGUUCCUGACCUUUUACCAGACGAUGUCACAAUUGACAAACUGCUCAUUUAUUUUCUGAGGAAAAAGAACGGAGGAGGGGAGGUUCUGAAGGUUCUGUACCCCUGUUACCAGCCCGGACAGGCUUUUGUAACGUUUGAGCAGCCGGAAGUUGCUGCUGAGGUUGUGAGGAGGAGUUCUCAUGUGUUGGAGCUGGACGAUCAACGGUAUCACCUGACGGUGAGAGCAGCUGAUCACGCUCAGGUGGAUUUCCCGGUGGAGGCCACCCUUCAGCUGAACGCUUUGCUGGACAAGAUAAAAGUGCAUGACUUCCUCAGGUCGCAGGGCUUUGUGACGAAGGAUCUGACCAGGGAUCAGGUGCAUGUCAAAGGAUCCUUUUUGAAGCUUAAAUCUGUGAAGGCCUCGUUGGAGACGCUGCUGAAAGCUCCAGCCACAGUGGGCGCGAUCCCAUCGCCUUCAACUGUCCCAAAGGUGUCCUCAGGAGACAUUUCCAGACAUCACACAGACGUAGCAGCUGCUAAACGAGGACCGUUGGAUUCAAAACACGAACGUGCGUCUCCAUCUGCACCCACCAUCUCCUCCUCUUUGCUGCGUGGCUCCUCUCUGGUGGACUCUCCUGGGACAGGAAACCAGCCUGGCUCAGUCAGGACAGGGGAAGUCUAUUUUGCUGUCGCAGAUGAUUUGUAUGACUACGCCAACUGUCUUCGGAAGAAAGACGUGGACACCAUCCUGGUCAGCCACAAUGUUAAAUUAAGAGUGAAACCUGUCGAUGACGCUUUUGUCCUCAUCAUUCUGUCGGGGAAUGGUGCAAAUGCCGGCAUGAACAAACUAAAGACGCUCCUGGCAAACCUUUUUAAAUCUCUGGUGACAAUGGAAGUCCCUCUGAAGGAUCUGACUCCUGAAGGGAUGCGUCUGGUUGCCAAAAACGUUGACAAAUCAGUGCUCAUGCGGAAGAGGAACGGCCGCCUUCACCUGAUUGGACCAUCAAGGGAAUGCUACGUCCUCAAGCAGAAGCUGCUGGGGAGGACGGCGGACCUGUCUCAACAAAGAGGGAGAAUAACCGAGAGAAAACCCACGAGGAGAAGCCUGUCGCUGCCACCGACCAGUCGCAAGACAGAUGGUGCUGGAGCUGAAGGUUACGCUCCUUCAAAGUACCAGGAUGAUGCCGGGAGGAGUCGGGGAAGAGCACUGGUACCAUGAAAGAGGUGCAAGACAAACCUGACCCCAGAACCAGACUCCAGAACCAGACCCCUAAGGAGCACUGUGUCCAGUUUUAGUGCAACAAGAAGCUUUUAAAUUUAGUCUUUUACACCACUUUGUUUUUUUAUGAAAAAACUGAUUAAACAUUUUUAUUGCUCCAACUCUUUGGUGUCUU
This is a long non-coding RNA of Takifugu rubripes (torafugu), 1633 nucleotides long. The record is from Ensembl. NCBI's taxonomy places the organism in Eukaryota, Metazoa, Chordata, Actinopteri, Tetraodontiformes, Tetraodontidae.